GCUGUCAAUGGUAGCGUGAGAGCAUAAGGAAUUAACAGCUUUUAACUA
This 48-nucleotide non-coding RNA is filed under the name Lactiplantibacillus plantarum. RNAcentral's name for it is "Lactobacillus plantarum Bacillus-plasmid RNA". It matches the Rfam family "Bacillus-plasmid RNA". The record is from Rfam by way of RNAcentral. Lineage: Bacteria; Bacillati; Bacillota; Bacilli; Lactobacillales; Lactobacillaceae.